This 324-nucleotide ribosomal RNA is filed under the name Triticum aestivum (bread wheat). RNAcentral's name for it is "partial small subunit ribosomal RNA". Lineage: Eukaryota; Viridiplantae; Streptophyta; Magnoliopsida; Poales; Poaceae. The record is from RNAcentral.
AUGGGGUUUACGCCACGAGCUCUCACAACCACAACCCUAAAAGUCAGCCACACUAUUACAAAACAAGCGAUCAAACUUCAGAACCAAGAACAUUGUCUACUUCAGCAUGGUAUAGUAUGCAAGAAGAACUUUCAGAAACGAGUAUUGCUUGCUGACCGAUUAUCGCUACAUAUUAGCUCAGAAUCUUCCUCGGUAUCACGCAACCACUACUCAACACGACAUGCUUCUAUCAACAUCGACAGGAGGGAAUUGGCUGCAAAAAGUGCAAAUAAAAACACCCAAGAAUCACCUCCCUUGCUAGGUACACUGCAAUGUAAAAAAUAA